CCUACGGGUGGCUGCAGUGAGGAAUAUUGGUCAAUGGACGAGAGUCUGAACCAGCCAAGUAGCGUGAAGGAUGACGGCCCUAUGGGUUGUAAACUUCUUUUAUAUGGGAAUAAAAUGUUCCACGUGUGGGGUUUUGUAUGUACCAUAUGAAUAAGGAUCGGCUAACUCCGUGCCAGCAGCCGCGGUAAUACGGAGGAUCCGAGCGUUAUCCGGAUUUAUUGGGUUUAAAGGGAGCGUAGGUGGAUUGUUAAGUCAGUUGUGAAAGUUUGCGGCUCAACCGUAAAAUUGCAGUUGAAACUGGCAGUCUUGAGUACAGUAGAGGUGGGCGGAAUGCGUGGUGUAGCGGUGAAAUGCUUAGAUAUCACGAAGAACUCCGAUUGCGAAGGCAGCUUACUGGACUUCAACUGACACUGAGGCUCGAAAGUGUGGGUAUCAAACAGGAUUAGAUACCCGAGUAGUC
This 460-nucleotide ribosomal RNA is filed under the name uncultured bacterium. RNAcentral's name for it is "partial 16S ribosomal RNA". It matches the Rfam family "Bacterial small subunit ribosomal RNA", at positions 338 to 795 of the family's 1533-position model. The record is from RNAcentral.